RNAcentral lists this ribosomal RNA (425 nucleotides) under uncultured bacterium. RNAcentral's name for it is "bacterial SSU rRNA". It matches the Rfam family "Bacterial small subunit ribosomal RNA", at positions 354 to 796 of the family's 1533-position model. The record is from RNAcentral.
GUGGGGAAUCUUGCGCAAUGGGCGAAAGCCUGACGCAGCCAUGCCGCGUGAAUGAUGAAGGUCUUAGGAUUGUAAAAUUCUUUCACCGGGGACGAUAAUGACGGUACCCGGAGAAGAAGCCCCGGCUAACUUCGUGCCAGCAGCCGCGGUAAUACGAAGGGGGCUAGCGUUGCUCGGAAUUACUGGGCGUAAAGGGCGCGUAGGCGGACAGUUUAGUCAGAGGUGAAAGCCCAGGGCUCAACCUUGGAAUUGCCUUUGAUACUGGCUGGCUUGAGUACGGGAGAGGUGAGUGGAACUCCGAGUGUAGAGGUGAAAUUCGUAGAUAUUCGGAAGAACACCAGUGGCGAAGGCGACUCACUGGCCCGUUACUGACGCUGAGGCGCGAAAGCGUGGGGAGCAAACAGGAUUAGAAACCCGAGUAGUCC